RNAcentral lists this transfer RNA (60 nucleotides) under Dryocoetes autographus. RNAcentral describes it as "tRNA-Gly". The record is from RNAcentral. Lineage: Eukaryota; Metazoa; Arthropoda; Insecta; Coleoptera; Curculionidae.
UAUAUAAUAUAAAUUAUUAUAUUUGACUUCCAAUCAAAAAAUCUACAUGUAGUAUAAGUA